Molecule: ribosomal RNA, 194 nt
Filed under: uncultured bacterium
Lineage: Bacteria
Description: partial 16S ribosomal RNA
Rfam family: Bacterial small subunit ribosomal RNA
Source: RNAcentral
CGACUCCAUGAAGCUGGAUUCGCUAGUAAUCGCGCAUCAGCCACGGCGCGGUGAAUAACGUUCCCGGGCCUUGUACACACCGCCCGUCACACCAUGGAAGUCUGCAAUGCCCGAAGCCGGUGGCCUAACCACUUAUGUGGAAGGAGCCGUCUAAGGCAGGGCAGAUGACUGGGGUGAAGUCGUAACAAGGUAUC